RNAcentral lists this ribosomal RNA (451 nucleotides) under uncultured bacterium. RNAcentral describes it as "partial 16S ribosomal RNA". It matches the Rfam family "Bacterial small subunit ribosomal RNA", at positions 29 to 523 of the family's 1533-position model. The record is from RNAcentral.
AGCGAACGCUGGCGGCAGGCUUAACACAUGCAAGUCGAGCGGGCGUAGCAAUACGUCAGCGGCAGACGGGUGAGUAACGCGUGGGAACGUACCUUUUGGUUCGGAACAACACAGGGAAACUUGUGCUAAUACCGGAUAAGCCCUUACGGGGAAAGAUUUAUCGCCGAAAGAUCGGCCCGCGUCUGAUUAGCUAGUUGGUGAGGUAACGGCUCACCAAGGCGACGAUCAGUAGCUGGUCUGAGAGGAUGAUCAGCCACAUUGGGACUGAGACACGGCCCAAACUCCUACGGGAGGCAGCAGUGGGGAAUAUUGGACAAUGGGGGCAACCCUGAUCCAGCCAAGCCGCGUGAGUGAUGAAGGCCCUAGGGUUGUAAAGCUCUUUUGUGCGGGAAGAUAAUGACGGUACCGCAAGAAUAAGCCCCGGCUAACUUCGUGCCAGCCGCCGCGGUAA